Molecule: RNA transcript, 1631 nt
Organism: Quercus lobata
Lineage: Eukaryota; Viridiplantae; Streptophyta; Magnoliopsida; Fagales; Fagaceae
Gene name: serine/threonine-protein kinase SAPK4-like
Exons: 10
Source: RefSeq, a predicted model, not a curated record
AUUUCAUCUAUAUAUAUUUUUUGGAUUUGGAGUUGACGAUCUGUGUGAGUUUGACAAAAGCCGCAUGAAUUAUGAAUUUUCUCUGUUAGAUUUUGCAGAUUUAAUGAAUUAAUGGUUAUUUAAUUUUCACUCGAAAAUAAACUUGCUCAUAUAUACAUAUAUAGAUAAAUAGCCACAAACUUUUACGGAUCCAAAGGUUAAUUCAUCACACAGUUUCUUCUAUUGUGGAAGUUUUUCCCCCCGUCUUCUGAAGAACCCUAAAAAAGGGAUCCUGAUAACUUUGAGGCUGAGCCUAAGGUUCUAACACUUGCUGUAUGAUAACUCUUAAAGAAUUAUCACAAGAUAUUUGUCACAAGAUAUUGUUAGGACGUGAUCACAAAAUCAUCAAGUGGACUAUUACUGUGAUUUGAAAUGACACAAUGGAAAAGUACAAGCAAGUUGAAUAUCUAGGGUAUGAGAGCAUUGGAGAGGUAUGGCUCGUGGAAAACAAAAAGACCACGGAACUCUUUGCCAUGAAAUGCUUUAAGCGUGGUCAUCAGAUUGAUAAAUAUCUGGCUAGAGAAAUCAUAAUCCAGAAAUCGCUUUAUCAUCCCAACGUAAUCCAAUUCAAGGAGGUGGUUUUGAGUUCAACCUAUCUCUGCAUCGUGAUGGAGUACGCUAAGGGUGGAGAUCUAUAUAAUAAAAUUUUUAUCAAAGGGCUUAAUGAAAAUACGGCCAGAUAUUAUUUCCAGCAGCUUAUAUCAGGAGUUUUCUACUGUCACACUAAGGGAAUGUGCCAUAGAGAUCUGAAGCCAGAGAACAUCUUAUUAGAUGGAAGUGAUCUUCCAUGCUUGAAGAUUUGUGAUAUUGGUUUUUCAAAGCAAUAUCGGAUGCAUUCAAAACUCAAGUCAGCAAUUGGAACUCCACAAUAUAGUGCACCUGAGGUUUGUUCGAGAGAGUAUGAUGGGAAGUUGGCAGAUUUAUGGUCAUGUGGAGUGAUUCUUUAUACUAUGCUGGUGGGGGGAACACCCAAAGUAUAGACCAAAUGAUACAGGGGAAGCCAGUAAUGUUUAUGAAACAAAUGCCUGUCCAUUCUCUCUUCCAGACUCUUUAUCUCCAGAUUCUAAGGAUCUCCUUGCUCGCAUGCUUGUUGUAGAUCCUCGAAAGAGGAUUGCCAUUGAGGAAAUCAUGAAGCACCGGUGGUUUAAGAAGAAGUUGAAAGGGAAACUAGCAGAAGCAUUUCAAGUUACGAAAGAAAAUCCAAGAUUUGCCCUCCAAAGUGAUGAAGAGAUAGUGAUAAUUGUUGAAGAGGCCAUAAUUCCUCCACCAGAGGAUGCUAAUGUUACGGAAGAAUAUUUUGAAUUUGAGGAGGAAGAAGAAGAUGAAGAUUCAUCUUGUGGAUCUUGUGUGAGUUAAACAAAAAAAUUGUGUACUUACUUUGAACUUUAGAUACUAUCUGAACAAAAUCCACAUCACUUUUACUAUUAUUAUUGAUGUUACUUUAGAUAUGGCAUCUAUCUACAAAGUAUAUCAAUAUGGUGCAAAAUUUCGAAGUAUCAUUGUGGGAAACUAGCAUUAUUGACUGUAGGUUUCAUACUGAAAACCCUACAAAUUUCAGUGUUUUGAAGAACACUUUGACAAGUUUUAUUCAA